This is a long non-coding RNA of Pogoniulus pusillus (Red-fronted tinkerbird), 901 nucleotides long. RefSeq lists it as uncharacterized. NCBI's taxonomy places the organism in Eukaryota, Metazoa, Chordata, Aves, Piciformes, Lybiidae. The record is from RefSeq and is a predicted model, not a curated record. The transcript is spliced from 3 exons.
AUGAGAACAAACCUGCUUGGAAGAGAAAGACUGAAACCUGCUUGGCCAUCUUAAAUUCAUAUCAAUUCUUUGGGUACAAGAACACAGCGAGGCAGGCGCCACCAAGCCCACAUUCCAGCUGAACAGAGGCAGCAAUUCAUCCACAGAGAAAAGGGGUCCUGCCAGAUCAUGCUGCUGGCAGAGGAUUCCCUGCUGAGAAAGGCUAUUUUACCGUAGUGAUCAAUCAACUGGAAGACCAUUAACCCACCACAGGCCUCCAGACAACUUUGUUGAGCAGCCAUGACAAUAAAAAAAAGAAGUUUAAGCUUCCUUCUAGUGUCAGCCCUUUGGAGCAGUUCCAUUUCGGGUGCAAGAGCAGCCGAGAAGAGACGUGCGUGUCCUGCAUGCGUCUCAGCUGUGAUGUACAAAUCCAGAUCACUUCAUCCCUACCAAGAUAACAAGGUCACUGUGCAGGAGAUAAGCACUGCAUGAAGAAACAAAGAGCUGCUGCUAGAAGACACUUGAAAUACUUCACUGGUGCCUGUACACCAGUAAUUUAGGAACAAUAACAGCAUGGGACAGGCACAGUGUGGUACUGUAGCACCAUCUUUGCCCACAGCACUAGGCCUGAUUUUGUCUUAUGUGAAGCACAGCAACAUCUUGAACAGCAAAAUGCACAACCCAGCUCUCAGCACAAAGCCUACAGGCCAGAUUUCAGCCCCUGGCUGGGAAGGUUUGAGUAAACUAUGCUGACAGAAGAAACCAAUAUUGACAUUUGAAGUUUAGAUCCCAAAUAUUUACAUUCCUAAUGAUUGGGAGUUCUAAAAAAAAAUAAUAAUUAAAAGUUAAAAUCUAAAUAUUUUGUCAAACACAGGUCUAGGUUCUUCCACGCAGAAGCUUCUUCUAGCAAAAUAAAUCUAAG